Molecule: ribosomal RNA, 253 nt
Filed under: uncultured bacterium
Lineage: Bacteria
Description: partial 16S ribosomal RNA
Rfam family: Bacterial small subunit ribosomal RNA
Source: RNAcentral
UACGUAGGCAGCGAGCGUUGUUCGGAGUUACUGGGCGUAAAGAGUGCGUAGGCUGUGGUCCAAGUCUGGUGUGAAAUCUCCCGGCUCAACCGGGAGGGUGCGCCGGAAACUGGGCUGCUUGAGUGCCGGAGAGGCAGGCGGAAUUCCUGGUGUAGCGGUGAAAUGCGUAGAUAUCUGGAGGAACACCGGUGGCGAAGGCGGCAUCCUGGACCGGUAUUGACGCUGAGGCGCGAAAGCCAGGGGAGCAAACGGG